CAGGACGAACGCUGGCGGCGUGCUUAACACAUGCAAGUCGAGCGAUGAAGUCUCUCGGAGACGGAUUAGCGGCGGACGGGUGAGUAACACGUGGGUAACCUGCCUCAUAGAGGGGAAUAGCCUUCCGAAAGGAAGAUUAAUACCGCAUAAGAUUGUAGUUUCGCAUGAAACAGCAAUUAAAGGAGUAAUCCGCUAUGAGAUGGACCCGCGUCGCAUUAGCUAGUUGGUGAGGUAACGGCUCACCAAGGCGACGAUGCGUAGCCGACCUGAGAGGGUGAUCGGCCACAUUGGGACUGAGACACGGCCCAGACUCCUACGGGAGGCAGCAGUGGGGAAUAUUGCACAAUGGGGGAAACCCUGAUGCAGCCAACGCCGCGUGAGUGAUGACGGUCUUCGGAUUGUAAAGCUCUGUCUUCAGGGACGAUAAUGACGGUACCUGAGGAGGAAGCCACGGCUAACUACGUGCCAGCCGCCGC
This 476-nucleotide ribosomal RNA is filed under the name uncultured bacterium. Its description in RNAcentral is "bacterial SSU rRNA". It matches the Rfam family "Bacterial small subunit ribosomal RNA", at positions 25 to 518 of the family's 1533-position model. The record is from RNAcentral.